GACGAACGCUGGCGGCGUGCUUAACACAUGCAAGUCGAACGGAAAGGCCCUGCUUUUGUGGGGUGCUCGAGUGGCGAACGGGUGAGUAACACGUGAGUAACCUGCCCUUGACUUUGGGAUAACUUCAGGAAACUGGGGCUAAUACCGGAUAGGAGCUCCUGCUGCAUGGUGGGGGUUGGAAAGUUUAGGCGGUUGGGGAUGGACUCGCGGCUUAUCAGCUUGUUGGUGGGGUAGUGGUUUACCAAGGCUCUGACGGGUAGCCGGCCUGAGAGGGUGACCGGCCACAUUGGGACUGAGAUACGGACCAGAGUCCUACGGGGGGCAGCAGUGGGGAAUAUUGCACAAUAGGCGGAAGCCUGAUGCAGCGACGCCGCGUGCGUGAUGAAGGCCUUCGGGUUGUAAACCGCUUUCGCCUGUGACGAAGCGUGAGUGACGGUAAUGGGUAAAGAAGCACCGGCUAACUACGUG
This 468-nucleotide ribosomal RNA is filed under the name uncultured bacterium. RNAcentral's name for it is "partial 16S ribosomal RNA". It matches the Rfam family "Bacterial small subunit ribosomal RNA", at positions 28 to 507 of the family's 1533-position model. The record is from RNAcentral.